Long non-coding RNA from Grus americana (Whooping crane), 1408 nucleotides. RefSeq lists it as uncharacterized. NCBI's taxonomy places the organism in Eukaryota, Metazoa, Chordata, Aves, Gruiformes, Gruidae. The transcript has 4 exons. The record is from RefSeq and is a predicted model, not a curated record.
GGAGAACCGAGGUGACACGGGAGGGUGAGAAGAUCCAGGGUUGUAAGCGGCGCUUUCGGCUCCGGGUUGAGUCCAGAUGGAGUGGCUGGAGACGGGGCUGCCUUGCUGGGAAGAGCCGCUGCUCUGGAGCAGGUCCAGCCGCCGCUUCGAGACCCCAAGCAAGAAGUCCAGGUCCCUCCGGAGGAGAGAUUUUAGAUCCCGCCUGGAUUUAGCUUCUCCCACCGGGUUCCAUCCAUCACCUCCCGCCCCCCCCCCCCCCUCCACGAUGGGGCUGGGCUGCUUAAAACCCUCGGUCAGUCUCCUCCCCGCCUUUCUCCCCCCCCCUCCGCCCCAUCCAACAACACCUCCGGGGGAGGCAGGGGGAGAUGCGGCCGGGGAUGCGGGAGGAGGCGGCGGCCGGGCCGGGAGCCCACCUCGGGGCGGAGGAGAUAAGGAGAUCAUGGAGGGAUCCUAGAAAACCAUCUCACACCCGGAGAAGGUCUGGAUGGGGCGGGGGGAAUUAUGGCCAGAGAAAUAACUCUUGGGACUGAUUUAGAUUUAACUAGCAGAUUCCCCAGGCUGAACCCCUCCGCUGGGCUGAAUUUAGCAGCAGAAGAGAUAACCGGGAGAUAAGGACUGAUACCCGGGAGGACAGAGGGAGACCGGCAGGCAGCCGAGGGAAGGGGGAGAAGCCGGAGGCAGCGUCGGGAAGGGCUGCGUAUCCAGAUGUGCAGGGUUUGGGACACGCAUCUCCCUCUCCACGCCUUGCAAAAUCUUUGGCGAUUUUCUUUACCAAAGCAGCGUUUUGCUGAAGCUUCGUUGAAUUCCUACUGAAUAUCAACUCUUUCCUUAAAAAACAACCACAAAUCCAAUUAAAACCGAUUAAAACAGCGCGAAAGACUCUACCAGGGGACGAUUUCAAGGACCUGCCUCGGUUUUGCAUCUUCCAGGAAAAAAAAAACACCACACACACACACACAAAAAAAAAUAAAUCCCGGUUUUGCGUGUGCGUGGCCGGAUCCAGCCUCUUUCAGCGGGGAAAUAUCGGUCCUUAGUGCCGAGCAUCGCGUCGCGGGGCGGGGGGUUCGCACCCCGAAAAAGCAACGCCGUGAGGAGCUGAGCCCCAGCCUGGUGCAAACUAACAGCCGGGAAGGAGAGGAUGCAUUUCGGACACUUUUUAUCCCGAAAAAAAAAAAAGCAGAGGAUGGGACACAGCAGAGUGCAGCGACAAGAAAAAAAAUCCCUGCUCUGCUCUCGGAGGAGCCUUUUUUCCCCCCGUGCGAUUACGGAGUCUGCUCGCCCGCAAAGCGAAGCGGUUAACGAAAUCUGGCUGAAAAUAACCCUGCAGAACAAACCUCGAACUUUCCGCUCUCCUUUCCAGCCCCUUCUUCCCCCCCAAGGAGGAAAUAAAUCGAUACGAUGCCUGGUU